Molecule: ribosomal RNA, 465 nt
Filed under: Vreelandella stevensii
Lineage: Bacteria; Pseudomonadati; Pseudomonadota; Gammaproteobacteria; Oceanospirillales; Halomonadaceae
Description: partial 16S ribosomal RNA
Rfam family: Bacterial small subunit ribosomal RNA
Source: RNAcentral
CCUACGGGCGGCAGCAGUGGGGAAUAUUGGACAAUGGGCGAAAGCCUGAUCCAGCCAUGCCGCGUGUGUGAAGAGGGCCUUCGGGUUGUAAAGCACUUUCAGUGGGGAAGAAAGCCUUGGGGCUAAUACCCUCGAGGAAGGACAUCACCCACAGAAGAAGCACCGGCUAACUCCGUGCCAGCAGCCGCGGUAAUACGGAGGGUGCGAGCGUUAAUCGGAAUUACUGGGCGUAAAGCGCGCGUAGGCGGUCUGAUAAGCCGGUUGUGAAAGCCCCGGGCUCAACCUGGGAACGGCAUCCGGAACUGUCAGGCUAGAGUGCAGGAGAGGAAGGUAGAAUUCCCGGUGUAGCGGUGAAAUGCGUAGAGAUCGGGAGGAAUACCAGUGGCGAAGGCGGCCUUCUGGACUGACACUGACGCUGAGGUGCGAAAGCGUGGGUAGCAAACAGGAUUAGAUACCCCUGUAGUC